GAUGAACGCUGGCGGCGUGCCUAAUACAUGCAAGUCGAGCGAACGGACGAGAAGCUUGCUCCCCUGAUGUUAGCGGCGGACGGGCGAGUAACACGUGGAUAACCUACUUAUAAGACUGGGAUAAUUUCGGGAAACCGGAGCUAAUACCAGAUAAUAUUUUGAACCGCAUGGUUCAAAAGUGAAAGACGGUCUUGGUGUCACUUAUAGAUGGAUCCGCGCUGCAUUAGCUAGUUGGUAAGGUAACGGCUUACCAAGGCAACGAUGCAUAGCCGACCUGAGAGGGUGAUCGGCCACACUGGAACUGAGACACGGUCCAGACUCCUACGGGAGGCAGCAGUAGGGAAUCUUCCGCAAUGGGCGCAAGCCUGACGGAGCAACGCCGCGUGAGUGAUGAAGGUCUUCGGGUCGUAAAACUCUGUUAUUAGGAAAGAACAGAUGUGUAAGUAACUGUGCACAUCUUGACGGUACCUAAUCAGAAAGCCACGGCUAACUACGUG
RNAcentral lists this ribosomal RNA (497 nucleotides) under uncultured bacterium. RNAcentral describes it as "partial 16S ribosomal RNA". It matches the Rfam family "Bacterial small subunit ribosomal RNA", at positions 28 to 507 of the family's 1533-position model. The record is from RNAcentral.